This 497-nucleotide ribosomal RNA is filed under the name uncultured bacterium. RNAcentral describes it as "partial 16S ribosomal RNA". It matches the Rfam family "Bacterial small subunit ribosomal RNA", at positions 28 to 507 of the family's 1533-position model. The record is from RNAcentral.
GAUGAACGCUGGCGGCGUGCCUAAUACAUGCAAGUCGAGCGAACGGACGAGAAGCUUGCUUCUCUGAUGUUAGCGGCGGACGGGUGAGUAACACGUGGAUAACCUACCUAUAAGACUGGGAUAACUUCGGGAAACCGGAGCUAAUACCGGAUGAUAUUUUGAACCGCAUGGUUAAAAAGUGAAAGACGGUCUUGCUGUCACUUAUAGCUGGAUCCGCGCUGCAUUAGCUAGUUGGUAAGGUAACGGCUUACCAAGGCAACGAUGCAUAGCCGACCUGAGAGGGUGAUCGGCCACACUGGAACUGAGGCACGGUCCAGACUCCUACGGGAGGCAGCAGUAGGGAAUCUUCCGCAAUGGGCGAAAGCCUGACGGAGCAACGCCGCGUGAGUGAUGAAGGUCUUCGGAUCGUAAAACUCUGUUAUUAGGGAAGAACAUAUGUGUAAGUAACUGUGCACAUCUUGACGGUACCUAAUCAGAAAGCCACGGCUAACUACGUG